This 557-nucleotide ribosomal RNA is filed under the name Microsporomyces sp. RNAcentral describes it as "partial large subunit ribosomal RNA". It matches the Rfam family "Eukaryotic large subunit ribosomal RNA", at positions 48 to 656 of the family's 3401-position model. The record is from RNAcentral. Lineage: Eukaryota; Fungi; Basidiomycota; Cystobasidiomycetes; Cystobasidiales; Microsporomycetaceae.
AAGCGGAGGAAAAGAAACUAACCAGGAUUCCCCCAGUAACGGCGAGUGAAGUGGGAAAAGCUCAACUUUGAAAUCUGGCAGCUUCGCUGUCCGAGUUGUAGUCUCGAGAAGCGUCUUCCGCGCUGAAGCAUGUACGAGUCUGUUGGAAUACAGCGCCUCAGAGGGUGAGAGCCCCGUCCAUGACAUGCCUUUCAGUGCUCUGUGAUGCGCUUUCGAUGAGUCGAGUUGUUUGGGAAUGCAGCUCUAAAUGGGUGGUAAAUUCCAUCUAAGGCUAAAUAUUGGCGGGAGACCGAUAGCAAACAAGUACCGUGAGGGAAAGAUGAAAAGCACUUUGGAAAGAGAGUUAAAAGUACGUGAAAUUGUCGAAAGGGAAACGAUUGAAGUCGGACGUGCAGGGCAACCUGCAGGCCAACAUCGGUUUCAUCAGCCGGAUAAAGGUCAGGGGAAGGUGGCAGCUUCGGCUGUGUUAUAGCCCCUGGCUGAAUACGGAUGGCGAGACCGAGGACCGCAGCGCAAGCUUAGGAUGUUGGUGGAACGGCUUUAAACGACCCGUCUUG